This 192-nucleotide ribosomal RNA is filed under the name Desulfofundulus thermosubterraneus DSM 16057. Its description in RNAcentral is "16S rRNA. Bacterial SSU". It matches the Rfam family "Bacterial small subunit ribosomal RNA", at positions 19 to 128 of the family's 1533-position model. Lineage: Bacteria; Bacillati; Bacillota; Clostridia; Eubacteriales; Peptococcaceae. The record is from RNAcentral.
CUGGCUCAGGACGAACGCUGGCGGCGUGCCUAACACAUGCAAGUCGAGCGAUUGAGAGGUGAGAGGUGAGAGGUUAGAAGUGAGAUUAAGAAGGCUUUGGCAAAGCCAAAGCCAACAAUAAAUCUCACAUCUCGCUUCUCACAUCUCACCUCUCAAUAGCGGCGGACGGGUGAGUAACGCGUGGAUAACCUG